Oncorhynchus tshawytscha (Chinook salmon) is the source of this 2760-nucleotide long non-coding RNA. Lineage: Eukaryota; Metazoa; Chordata; Actinopteri; Salmoniformes; Salmonidae. The record is from Ensembl.
GAACAGUUGAAACUGGAGCAGCAGCACAACCAGGUGGACUGGGGACAGCAAGGAGUCAUCAGGCCAGGUAGUCCUGAGGCAUGGUCCUAGGGCUCAGGUCCUCAAAGAGAAGAGAAAGAGAGAGAGACAGAGAAAGAGAAAGAGAGAAAGCGAGAAAGAGAGAGAAUUAGAGAAUUAGAGGGAGCAUACUUAAAUUCUCUCAAGACACCGGUUGAGACAGGAGAAAUACACCAAACAUAACAGACUGACCCUAGCCACCCAACACAUAAACUACUGCAGCAUAAAUAGUGGAGGCUGAGACAGGAGGCGUCAGGAGACACUGUGGCCCCAUCCAAUGAUAUCCCCGGACAGGGCCAACAAGGCAUGAUAUAACGCCGCCUACUUUGCCAAAGCACAGCCCCCACACCACCAGAGGGAUAUUUUCAACCACCAACUUACUACCCUGAGACAAGGCCGAGUAUAGCCCACGAAGAUCUCCCCCAUGCCACUCACCCGAGGGGGGUGCCAACCCGGACAGGAAGAUCAUGUCAAAAACUCAACCCACUCAAGUGACGCACCCCUCCUAGGGACGGCAUGGAAGAGCACCUGUAGGUAUGUAUGGGUAGGUAGGACCAAAGUCAAGGUUCUCGUCAAGAUCCAAGCAGCCGUAUUUAGCACUUACUGAAUUGUAUUUAGUGCUUUUUCUGAGUAGCCAGAGAGUAGAGCAUUGCAGUUUUCUAACCUAGAAGUAACAAAAGCAUGGAUACAUUUUUCUGCAUCAUUUUUGGACAGAAAGUUUCAGAUUUUUUCAAUGUAAUGCCGAUGGAAAAAAGCUGUCCUUGCAACAAUCUUGAUAUGUUCGUCAAAAGAGAGAUCAGGGAGCCUCCCGGGUGGUACAGUGGUCUACGGCACUGCAUCGCAGCGCUAGCUGUGCCACCAGAGACUCUAGGUUUGUUCCCAGGGAGGUCCUUGGGGCGACGCACAAUUGGCCUAGCGUCGUCCAGGUUAGGGAGGGUUUGGCCGGUAAGGAUAUCUUUGUCUCAUCGCGCACCAGCGACUCCAGUGGCGGGCCGGGCGCAGUGCACGCUAACCAAGAUAGCCAGGUGCACAGUGUUUCCUCCGACACAUUGGUGCGGCUGGCUUCUGGGUUGGAGUUGCGCUGUGUUAAGAAGCAGUGAGGCUUGGGUGGGUUGUGUUUCGGAGGAUGCAUGGCUUUCGACCUUCGUCUCUCCAGAGCCCGUACGGGAGUUGUAGCGAUGAGACAAGAUAGUAAUUACUAACAACAAUUGGAUAGCACGAAAAAGGGGGUCAAAAAAAAAAAGAAAGAGAGAUCAGGAUCCAGAGUCCUUCAGUUUUAUUUGAGACGACUGUACCACCAUCAAGAUUAAUUUUCUGAUCCAACAGAAGAUCUCUUUGUUUCCUGGGACCUGGAACUAGCAUCUCUGUUUUAAAGUAAAAUAUUUGCCACCAUCCACUUCAUCAUGUCUGAAAUACAGGCUUCCCGGGAGGGCAAUAUUGGGGCUUCACAAUGUUUCAUUGAAAUGUACAGCUGUGUGUCAUCCGCAUAGCAGUGAAAGUUAACAUUAUGUUUCCGAAUGACAUCACCAAGAGGUAAAAUAUAUAGUGAAAACAAUAGAGGUCCUAAAACGGAACCUUGAGGAACACCGACAUUUACCGUUGAGUUUUCAGAGGACAAACCAUCCACAGAGAUAAACUGAUAUCUUUCCUACAGAUAAGAUCUAAACCAGUCCAGAACUUGUCCGUGUAGACCAAUUUGGAUUUCCGAAUCUCUCCAAAAGAAUGUGGUAAUCGAUGGUAUCAAAAGCAUCACUAAGGUCUAGGAGCACGAGGACAGAUGCAGAGCCUCGGUCUGACGCCAUUUAAAGGUCAUUUACCACCUUGAUGAGUGCAGUCUCAGUGCUAUGAUAUUAUACUAGGAAGCAGGUGUAGUUAGUCAGUUUAAUGAUAUCUGACAUGGAAUGAUACAAAACAAGAGAAGCGUCUGACAUGGAAACACAAACAAUACUACCUGAUGGACAGUGCUAGAAAAAUGCUAAGUAAUGAAUGUAGUAAUGUAGUUCAGGUGUGACUGAUGAUAGGGCCCAGAUGUGAGUAAUCAUGGUUGCCAGGUGUGACUGAUGAUAGGGCCCAGAUGUGAGUAAUCAUGGUUGCCAGGUGUGACUGAUGAUAGGGCCCAGAUGUGAGUAAUCAUGGUUGCCAGGUGUGACUGAUGAUAGGGCCCAGAUGUGAGUAAUCAUGGUUGCCAGGCGUGGGUAAUGAUGGUUGCCAGGUGUAAGUAAUCAUGGUUGCUAGGUGUGAGUAAUCAUGGUUGCUAGGUGUGUGUAAUGAUGGUUGCCAGGUGUGUGUAAUCAUGGUUGCUAGGUGUGUGUAAUGAUGGUUGCCAGGUGUGCUUAAAGAUUGCCUGCCAGGACUGGUGGUUAGUAGACCGGUGACAUCGUGCGCUGGAGCGGGAGAAUGGGAGUAGACGUAACAUUACCCCCCUCCCAACGAGCGGCUCCAGACGCAGGACGACACCGGCCGGGGGCACCGCCCCGAGAGAGAAGAGCGGGCCAGUCCGGAUGACAAAGAUGGAAAACUUGGGUGAUGUUGGGAACUAGAUUGUCAUCCACCGGAAACACAACACCGUUCCUCUGGACCUUACCCCUCCAGGUCCACCAGGUAUUGGAGCCAACCCCCAUCAGCCAGGGGACCACUGGGCCUGAGGAGGGAAACAUGGAAAGAUGGUGAGAUCCGGUAGAGAGUGAGGAGUUGUAAUCUGUA